UACGGGGGGAGCAAGCGUUGUUCGGAUUUACUGGGCGUAAAGGGCGCGUAGGCGGUCAGCACAAGUCAGUUGUGAAAUCUCCGAGCUUAACUCGGAAAGGUCAACUGAUACUGUGCGACUAGAGUGCAGAAGGGGCAACUGGAAUUCUCGGUGUAGCGGUGAAAUGCGUAGAUAUCGAGAGGAACACCUGCGGCGAAGGCGGGUUGCUGGGCUGACACUGACGCUGAGGCGCGAAAGCUAGGGGAGCGAACGGG
This 254-nucleotide ribosomal RNA is filed under the name uncultured bacterium. RNAcentral describes it as "partial 16S ribosomal RNA". It matches the Rfam family "Bacterial small subunit ribosomal RNA", at positions 524 to 776 of the family's 1533-position model. RNAcentral also lists the same sequence under 2 other names. The record is from RNAcentral.